AAGUCAUAACAAGGUAACCGUAGGUGAACCUGCGGUUGGAUCAUUACAUAUUUUAGAAUAAACAAUGUGCUCAUUUAUUUGUAUUGUAUUGAACAGUGAUGAUCAUGGUUGGAUGAAUGUAGCCAAAACAACUUUUGACAAUGGAUCUCUUGAUUCCU
This 158-nucleotide unclassified non-coding RNA is filed under the name fungal sp. Its description in RNAcentral is "partial internal transcribed spacer region". The stretch from base 1 to 46 matches the Rfam family "Eukaryotic small subunit ribosomal RNA", at positions 1786 to 1831 of the family's 1831-position model. Lineage: Eukaryota; Fungi. The record is from RNAcentral.